Molecule: ribosomal RNA, 253 nt
Filed under: uncultured bacterium
Lineage: Bacteria
Description: partial 16S ribosomal RNA
Rfam family: Bacterial small subunit ribosomal RNA
Source: RNAcentral
UACGUAGGGGGCUAGCGUUGUCCGGAAUCAUUGGGCGUAAAGAGCGUGUAGGCGGCCCGGUAAGUCCGCUGUAAAAGUCAAAGGCUCAACCUUUGAAUGUCAGUGGAUACUGCCGGGCUAGAGUCCGGAAGAGGCGAGUGGAACUCCUGGUGUAGCGGUGGAAUGCGCAGAUAUCAGGAAGAACACCAACGGCGAAGGCAGCUCGCUAGGACGGUACUGACGCUGAGGCGCGAAAGCUAGGGGAGCAAACGGG